UCCCCGAUAGCUCAGUUGGUAGAGCAAUCGGCUGUUAACCGAUUUGUCGCAAGUUCGAAUCUUGCUCGGGGAGCCA
This 76-nucleotide transfer RNA is filed under the name Planctomycetota bacterium. Its description in RNAcentral is "tRNA-Asn". It matches the Rfam family "tRNA". From Rfam's summary of the family: Transfer RNA (tRNA) molecules are approximately 80 nucleotides in length. Their secondary structure includes four short double-helical elements and three loops (D, anti-codon, and T loops). Lineage: Bacteria; Pseudomonadati; Planctomycetota. The record is from RNAcentral.